RNAcentral lists this non-coding RNA (29 nucleotides) under Mus musculus (house mouse). The record is from RNAcentral. Lineage: Eukaryota; Metazoa; Chordata; Mammalia; Rodentia; Muridae.
UAAUCAACUGCUUGGUACAUGAUGCUAAA